GACGAACGCUGGCGGCGCGCUUAACACAUGCAAGUCGAACGGACAGGCCUGCUUUUCCUUGUGGAUUGCGGGUACUCGAGUGGCGAACGGGCGAGUAACAAGUGUGUGUUCUGCCCCCAAAUUGGGUCUAAGCCCGGGAGACUGGGUCUAAUUAUCGAUAGGACUGCAGGGUGGUGUCUGUGGUGGCAAACGUUCUUUUAGUGGUUGGGGGUGAGCUCGCGGACUAUCAGCUUGUUGAUGGGGUAGUGGCCUACCAAGACGGGGACGAGUAGCCGGCCGGGGAUGGGGGACGGCCACAUUGGGACUCGGACACGACCCAGACGCCUACGAGCAGCAGCAGUGGGGAAUAUAGCACAAAGAGCGGAAGCCUGAUGCAGCGACGCCGCGAGGAAGAUGACGGCCUUCGGGUUGUAAGCUCCUAUCGACCACGAGGAAGCCACCUAGUUAGAAGGGUGGUGACGGUAGUGGAAGAAAAAGCACCGGCUAACUACGUG
RNAcentral lists this ribosomal RNA (494 nucleotides) under uncultured bacterium. RNAcentral's name for it is "partial 16S ribosomal RNA". It matches the Rfam family "Bacterial small subunit ribosomal RNA", at positions 28 to 507 of the family's 1533-position model. The record is from RNAcentral.